This 403-nucleotide long non-coding RNA is filed under the name Ananas comosus (pineapple). Its description in RNAcentral is "long non-coding RNA (ACOM_LNC014760)". The record is from RNAcentral. Lineage: Eukaryota; Viridiplantae; Streptophyta; Magnoliopsida; Poales; Bromeliaceae.
AUAUAUUAAAUAGUAUUAUUAUAUAUAAUUAAUUAAUUAAUUAUACGUAUCUAUGAGUAAAUAUCAUAGUUAGUUAAUUCGGAUUCGGCAAAAAUUCGGUACGGAUAAAAUUCGGAUAAAAUUCGUCUUUUAAUUUUUAAAUUUGUUGAAAAAUACGGCUAAAAAUCAGAUUCGGCAAUUAUUCGGAUAUGUGAUUUUUACGGGUAUUAUGCGUUCACCAAUUAAAAACUCGAGAUAUAAAAUUCAACUAUAUAAUAAAUAUAUAAUAAUUAAUAUACUAUAUAUAUUAUUAUUAUAAUUUAUAUAUAUAAAUUAAAUAUAUUUAAAGUUAUAAUAAAUAUAUAUUAAUAAUAUAUAAGAGUUAUGUAUUUAGAAAUAUUAAUAAAUAAUUAUAAAUUUAUAU